This 375-nucleotide unclassified non-coding RNA is filed under the name uncultured bacterium. RNAcentral's name for it is "contains 16S-23S intergenic spacer region". The record is from RNAcentral.
UCCUUCUUAUCGAAGGCAGUUUCCGAAGAGUGCAUCCCUUGCGGGAUUAGCAACAUGGGACGAGGGUUGCGCUCGUUGCGGGACUUAACCCAACAUCUCACGACACGAGCUGACGACAACCAUGCAGCACCUGUAUACCGACCACAAGGGGGGCCGUAUCUCUACGGCUUUCCGGUAUAUGUCAAACCCAGGUAAGGUUCUUCGCGUUGCAUCGAAUUAAUCCACAUGCUCCGCCGCUUGUGCGGGCCCCCGUCAAUUCCUUUGAGUUUUAAUCUUGCGACCGUACUCCCCAGGCGGGGUGCUUAAUGCGUUAGCUGCGCCACCAAAAAGCAAGCUUCCUGACGGCUAGCACCCAUAGUUUACGGCGUGGACUAC